UACAGAGGGUGCGAGCGUUGUUCGGAAUUACUGGGCGUAAAGCGCGCGCAGGCGGUCCUUUAAGUCUACCCGUGAAAUCCCAUGGCUCAACCAUGGAAGUGCACCCGAAACUGCAUAGCUAGAGUCCUGGAGAGGAAGGUGGAAUGCUUGGUGUAGAGGUGAAAUUCGUAGAUAUCAAGCGGAACACCGGUGGCGAAGGCGGCCUUCUGGACAGUGACUGACGCUGAGACGCGAAAGCGUGGGGAGCAAACAGG
Molecule: ribosomal RNA, 254 nt
Filed under: uncultured bacterium
Lineage: Bacteria
Description: partial 16S ribosomal RNA
Rfam family: Bacterial small subunit ribosomal RNA
Source: RNAcentral